Non-coding RNA from Microcebus murinus (gray mouse lemur), 700 nucleotides. The record is from RefSeq and is a predicted model, not a curated record. NCBI's taxonomy places the organism in Eukaryota, Metazoa, Chordata, Mammalia, Primates, Cheirogaleidae.
UGGGCUGAAUGGGAAAUGCUGCGUGGCAACCGUGGACAGAACUCUGUUUCCUAUCACAUCCCCGGCUCAAUCAGUGACUUAUGCAAGACAAUAAGCAAACCAAGCAAAGAUGUUAAGCAACAUUCCCAAGACCAAGAACUAAUAAGCUGGGAGAAGAAGCUGGGACACAUUCAAACUAUAAUCUAUCGGCUCUAAAUUCUACCGCACUUCAUUCAAUUCAGAGUCCAGGAGCAUGUAGCUGAAAGGUCUAUGAAGGAGCUCAUUCAAUGGAACCAUGGAUGAAAGAAGAGAGGCAUGGAUGAAAGGAAUAGAACCAAGUGUAGAUUUCUGUUGCUCUCUUCAGCAAAUGGGAAGAAAAAGGAAGACCUGGAUAUGAACGGCAGCAGGAGGGCCAUGACCAGGGUGCAGGGUCCCAUGCCACAGGGCCUUCAGCAUAGAAUUCUCUCCCUCUUCCUCUUCACCUGGCAAAUCCUCACUCACUCUGCAAGCCUUAACUUUUGCAUAAAUUAAUAAAUGACUUUCUCUUCUCUUCUGACCAUAAUACCAUCCUAUGAUGGACAUUUCUUCCUUUAUAUUGUUUUACAUAUCCACAUCUAUCUCUGCUACCAUGUAUUACAAAGAGAUAUCAUGCCUCUACACAUUUAGUCACCUGAUUGCUAGUCUGAUCUCCCAAUUUAUAUGCUGAUUGCUAAAGGAGCUG